This 498-nucleotide ribosomal RNA is filed under the name uncultured bacterium. RNAcentral describes it as "partial 16S ribosomal RNA". It matches the Rfam family "Bacterial small subunit ribosomal RNA", at positions 899 to 1397 of the family's 1533-position model. The record is from RNAcentral.
ACUCAAAUGAAUAGACGGGGACCCGCACAAGCGGUGGAUUAUGUGGAUUAAUUCGAUGCAACGCGAAAAACCUUACCUACCCUUGACAUGUACGGAACCUCGCAGAGAUGUGAGGGUGCCCGAAAGGGAACCGUAACACAGGUGCUGCAUGGCUGUCGUCAGCUCGUGUCGUGAGAUGUUGGGUUAAGUCCCGCAACGAGCGCAACCCUUGCCAUUAGUUGCUACAUUCAGUUGGGCACUCUAAUGGGACUGCCGGUGACAAACCGGAGGAAGGUGGGGAUGACGUCAAGUCCUCAUGGCCCUUAUGGGUAGGGCUUCACACGUAAUACAAUGGUAGGUACAGAGGGCAGCCAACCCGCGAGGGGGAGCUAAUCCCAGAAAGCCUAUCGUAGUCCGGAUUGUAGUCUGCAACUCGACUACAUGAAGCCGGAAUCGCUAGUAAUCGCGGAUCAGCAUGUCGCGGUGAAUACGUUCCCGGGUCUUGUACACACCGCCCGU